AAUUUUAUAAAAAAAAAAAAGAGAGAGAUAAGGCUUAGAUGAGGAAAGAGUAGAUAAAGGAAAAAAAAAAGAAAAAGAGGAGAAGGAGAGGAACGUGAGAAAGUCGAGAGAGAGAAAGGAGAAGAGAGGCUUCGGCAGCCAUGGAAGGGAGGGGAGAUGGAAGAUCCACCAUGAAGAAGAAGAUGAAGAAGAAGGUAUAUAAUUACUUUCCUAAGCUUUUCUCUAAUUAUUUCUAUGAAAUUUUUAUGAAAGGGUUUUUUUGAUUUGGGUGUAUAAAACCCAAAGAUAUAUGUGAUUUAUAUAGAUUCAUGUAUGGAUUUAGCUAUUUUGGGUGUUGAUUUGGUUUGAAACCAAAAGAAGAGAAAAAUAAAUUUUUUCUAGUUUAGAAAACCCAAAAUUUCUAUGUAUUUUGAAAAUCCACCAUUUUAAGUCUAUGCAUUAUUUUUGUGAUCCGUCAAAAAGUAGUGCUAGAUAUAUGUGUUGGCUAGUAAACCCAAGUGGUAGAUCUCAAAAAUGUUCAGUUUACAUGGGGUAGUGACUGAUUUUGUGAAAACAGUCCCGUUUUCAUGGACUGUUUCGGAUCAGUCAAUGGCAGGGACAAUUUCGUCCAUAUUUUUGUGCUUUAAAAAUUCUGGGCUUUUGAUAUGUUGUAGUACUCUGAUUUAGCUUUCCAUAGACUCCGGAACGGACUAAUUCCGACUCCGGAUGAGGUAGUUAUGGCGUUCGGGAGAUGUGUAUCAAAACUGUUAAUCAAAUUCCGAACAGCCACCUUUGUGUAAAUUUCUGGACUGAUGUGUUAUGAUUUUGGAAAAAUGUCGUGAGACAAAAGUUGUAGCCCUGGAAGUUAUCUUCGCGUGGGCUCAAGAAUCGCUCAAAAAUGUUUUAAAACGCGAGAGUUAUGGCCGUUUUAGCGAGGCUGGGUAAAAUUUUCGAAAAUCAAAAGUGUCCAAAAAUAGGAAUAAUGUGAUUUAUAGCGUGAGACCCUUUGAGCAUGUCUUGUGCAUAUUUUGAUGAAGCUUUGGGUCGGGUAUAUAAUGUUAUGAUGUUUAUGACAUUUUAUAAUGUUUAAACAAGUUUAUUAAUUACGGAAAAGGAAAACAAUUGAAAACAAUUGUUUAUUAACGGGUUUAAUGAUUUGAGUUAUUUUUAUAUGACUAAUAGUAUUGUAUUGAGAUAUUAUUAGUAGUAUUUGAGGGAAAUGUUAUUAAAAGGUUAGUAACCUUAGUAUAAAAUAUUAUUGCAUAUUAAUAAUAUUCGACGGGAGAUUAAAAGAAGAGAUUUAUGUUAUUUCUCAACAUAAUUGAAUCUACAAGCUAAAAGCUAAGCUUGGGGCUGUAGAGCCAAGUUUGGGUUGCUAUUAUUUUAUGGGGCUGUUUAGUAUUGCUUGGAAAUAUGAUGGGUUAAAAUAAUAAUAAUAAUAAUAAUAAUAAUAAUAAUAAUAAUAAUAAUAAUAAUAAUAAUAAUAAUAAUAAAAUUGAUUGUGUGGUCAAUGAGAAUAUUUAAAAUAUAACUGUACAAGUUAUAUGGCAUGUUUGUGUGGUUAAUACGUUCAUAUAUAGUGAAAAUACAACUUUGCAAAAAGAAAAGUAAAGCGAAAGUGUUAGCGGGAUAAAAUACAAUAAUUCGAGUUGACUCAUAAACAGGUAAAAUAAUAAUAUAAAAAUUAUUUAUAUUAAGGGAAUAGUAUAGUAAAUUGAAUUUUACUAUAAAAGCUAUUUAUUAGCUGUUUAAGUCCUGAAUUAAUGAGUUAAGACAUAAGAUAUUCCUAAAGCGGAAUAUAAAUGAUUGAAUCUUCAAAGUGUAAAAUAUUUAUAUACUCAAAUGUGAGGGACCUUUAUUUGGUUUAGAAAGGUCAAAAGGAAUUAAGUUUCUAAAUAAACUAAUAUUCGUUUUGAGUAAGAAUAAGUAAUAUUAGUUUGUAUAAAACUAAUAAUUGUUAUUGAUGAAUAUACAUGCAUGUUUUGUAACAUAUUCGAUUAUCUAAUAUGUGUGUGCAUGUAAAUAUAAUUCUGUAGGAAUUGUGGAGAAACUCUAAGUUAAAUUUUGUGGUAAUCUCCAAUCAAGGCAAGUUUUUCGGUUCUAUGAUGUUUGUGGAUUAAAUGUGAUUAUGUGAUGAGUUACAUACCAUGCUUUAUGAAUUGUUAAAGUCAAAAUAUGACUAAAUUAAUUGGGUUAUGGAACUCAAUUUAUAUGUGAUAUGUGAAACAUGAUAGACUGUUAAAUUUGCUGGGCUGUCGAGCUCAAUCUUGCAAACACAAACUUUUUGCAGGUUAAUGAUGUUAGGCAAUAUUACUUGCUAUACGGAUGAUGAAGAUUGAUCGAUGUGCAAAAAUGAAUAUAUUUCCUUGAAUUAGAAAUGGUAUAAAUCUAUGAUUGAUAGUUGUGUCAAAUGUAAUUGGCAGUUAUGUAUAGUUUGAAAUGUUAAAUGGAUAAAGAAUGUUUAUUCUGAAAUGAGAGUAGAUAUGACUCUAAAAUGAAUGAAUCAUCAAUAUAAAAGAUAUGAAGUAUUGAGACUUAAGCCUUUAAUACGUUUACACGGAUUAUGCAAAUCAUAUAAUAAAUAUGAUUUUAGUAUAAGAAAGAAUUGUAAAGGUUGCGGUUCAGGGAAUGGAU
This 2613-nucleotide long non-coding RNA is filed under the name Panax ginseng (ginseng). Its description in RNAcentral is "long non-coding RNA (PGIN_LNC007161)". Lineage: Eukaryota; Viridiplantae; Streptophyta; Magnoliopsida; Apiales; Araliaceae. The record is from RNAcentral.